RNAcentral lists this ribosomal RNA (771 nucleotides) under uncultured bacterium. RNAcentral describes it as "bacterial SSU rRNA". It matches the Rfam family "Bacterial small subunit ribosomal RNA", at positions 8 to 773 of the family's 1533-position model. The record is from RNAcentral.
AGAGUUUGAUCCUGGCUCAGAACGAACGCUGGCGGCAUGCCUUACACAUGCAAGUCGAACGGCAGCACGGGUGCUUGCACCUGGUGGCGAGUGGCGAACGGGUGAGUAGUGCAUCGGAACGUACCCGUAGUGGGGGAUAACUACCCGAAAGGGUGGCUAAUACCGCAUAUACUGUGCGCAGGAAAGCAGGGGACCGUAAGGCCUUGUGCUACUGGAGCGGCCGAUGUCAGAUUAGCUAGUUGGUGGGGUAAAGGCCUACCAAGGCGACGAUCUGUAGCGGGUCUGAGAGGAUGAUCCGCCACACUGGGACUGAGACACGGCCCAGACUCCUACGGGAGGCAGCAGUGGGGAAUUUUGGACAAUGGGGGCAACCCUGAUCCAGCCAUGCCGCGUGAGUGAAGAAGGCCUUCGGGUUGUAAAGCUCUUUCGGACGGAAAGAAAACGGAUGGGUUAAUACCCUGUUCGGAUGACGGUACCGUCAUAAGAAGCACCGGCUAACUACGUGCCAGCAGCCGCGGUAAUACGUAGGGUGCGAGCGUUAAUCGGAAUUACUGGGCGUAAAGCGUGCGCAGGCGGUUGAUUAAGACAGGCGUGAAAUCCCCGGGCUUAACCUGGGAACUGCGCUUGUGACUGGUCGGCUAGAGUACGGCAGAGGGGGGUGGAAUUCCACGUGUAGCAGUGAAAUGCGUAGAGAUGUGGAGGAACACCGAUGGCGAAGGCAGCCCCCUGGGCCGAUACUGACGCUCAUGCACGAAAGCGUGGGUAGCAAAC